Molecule: ribosomal RNA, 472 nt
Filed under: uncultured bacterium
Lineage: Bacteria
Description: bacterial SSU rRNA
Rfam family: Bacterial small subunit ribosomal RNA
Source: RNAcentral
UAGCGGCAGGCUUAACACAUGCAAGUCGAGGGGUAGAAGAAGCUUGCUUCUUUGAGACCGGCGCACGGGUGCGUAACGCGUAUGCAAUCUACCUUUCACAAAGGGAUAGCCCAGAGAAAUUUGGAUUAAUACCUUAUAGUAAUACGACUUGGCAUCAAGAUGUAUUUAAAGAUUUAUCGGUGAAAGAUGAGCAUGCGUCCCAUUAGCUAGUUGGUAUGGUAACGGCAUACCAAGGCUACGAUGGGUAGGGGUCCUGAGAGGGAGAUCCCCCACACUGGUACUGAGACACGGACCAGACUCCUACGGUUAGGCAGCAGUGAGGAAUAUUGGUCAAUGGGCGAAAGCCUGAACCAGCCAUGCCGCGUGCAGGAAGACUGCCCUAUGGGUUGUAAACUGCUUUUAUACAGGAAGAAACACUCGGACGUGUCCGAGCUUGACGGUACUGUAUGAAUAAGCACCGGCUAACUCCGUG